CUAACAUUACUUGUUUGUAGAACUGGCGUCUUCACCAGAUGUCCCCAGUCAGCUCGUCUUCACUUAACGAACUUCACAGGACAGGCAAAAUCACACAAGUUGCAUCAUGCACUUGAGGGGCGUUGCUUACUAGAGCAUGUGCUUCACAAAAAAAAAUUAUCCAGCAUCUACAAGGGAUGUAUGUUCUAUUUAUAUUAUUGGCUAAUUUAUUUGCAAACAUGGCCUUUAAGUUGUUCACAAACUCAUCAACCGCUAGUAGCUAGAUAGACUGAGUUUAAACAAGGUUUGGCGCAGCAGAAGCAGGAACUAACUAGCUAACAAGUUAGCCAUCCAGCUAACUAGCUAACAAUUUAGCCAGCCAGCUAACACGUUAGCCAGCUAUCUAGCUAACGUUUGCUAGCUAAUCUCGUGCCUGCACAGAAUGCUUACCAGCCGUCCUGCGCGCAGGUUGUUCGCUUUAGGACUAACCCGAGUUCAUCUUAUUUAGCUAGCUAGUUAGCUAUGGACUCAAGGCCUUUAAUACGAAGUGUUUUAUUGCGAAAUGACGACUCACCUUAUCAAAACCUCAACCGAGAAUUCGCAACGCGAAUUUCUUAUUCUAGCCCUCAGUCACCGUCUCCUCAAGUACCUGACAUCACAGAGACCAGCGCUGGACUGGAGUGGUUUGAAAUGGGCCUAGCGACCUCAUCUGGUCCCGCGAGGAACAUAACGGACCAGGGAGUACCGCGGUCUCCUUAUGUCACUGGGUCAGCCAGCACCCAAAGCUCUCCACUCAGCACUCAAACUGUCCCUGUCUUCAGAGAGAGGAGGGUUUAUGCACCAGCCCAGCCAGUGAGAAGCGGAUCUGAAGAGGACCUGUCUAGUAAAGAAGGGAUAUCGGAGGAAAGGGGGAGCAGAACAGGGAAAGACAGCAGACCCAGCCUGGGAGAUCUGUUUGAUUAACACACUGACUGAUUUGUAACUGCAGCUGAGUUUUUAAUGAUAUUGAAUUAUUUCCACUGAAAUACUGGUGAACUCUGAUUUGAGAUUCUCAUUUUCAAUGUAGGACUAUUGUAGAUGGUCUUUUAUUAAAGUAACAUACAAUUCCUUACAGAUGACCUAGUUUGAUCCCCUCCUGUUUGUAAUAUUUUUCAUCAGUUUUGCAAUAUGUCAAUGUUUUAAUAAAAUAUCAUCAAAAAGGUUGAAAUAGUAUAACAUUUAAAAUUCCCAAAGUGAAAUAGUUGUCUACUGACAACCACUAAAUGUCACUGUUGUAUUAUUUCCUCUCUACCACCUUCCUCUCCUCAUACUGCUGGGUGUGUGAGUGAGAGGUUAUCCUGUGAUCUUGUACUUCACUGAGAAAAAUGAAACAUGAACUAGUAGGUCAUCUUUGAUAGUGUCUAAGAGGGCAUCGGGUCACCCCCUACUUGUUCUGACCCUUCAGCCCUCCAUGACAUAGAAAGAUGUGAAUAGACAAACACUGAAGUUUUCGUCUGAAGUGGAUGUGAAGUUAACAGGAUUGGGAAUGUCUGGGACAGAGAAGGGUAAUGACAUUGUCAUACUAGCCAUCCCCAAAUGUGUGCCUAUCUGGGGCUUUUCCACAGACUGGCAGAUGGGCCAGGUACUCUAGAAACUCAUCAGUUUGCUAAACAACAGCCUUACGUAGAACUGAUUUGUAUAUUCAGUAUGCUGUGAAACGUAAUGAGUAUGUCUCUACGUACAGUGGAAAAUACCUGAUAUAUAAACAUAUAUUAAGAAGAAUGAAUUAGGGAACCCUUUCAAGAGUAUGCAGGCCUUCUUAAGCCUUUGCGUGAAGAACGAGAAAUAGUUGGAUUAUUGAAUUCAAUGAGACUCCUCUACCCUUGAGUGGGUGACCUACUCAUCCUCAGGGCCUACUCAUCCCCCACCCACACACACUUUACCCUCCAUCCCUUACACUCUCUGAAAAACAUUUACAGUGGGGGAAAAAAGUAUUUAGUCAGCC
This is a long non-coding RNA of Coregonus clupeaformis (lake whitefish), 1963 nucleotides long. RefSeq lists it as uncharacterized. Lineage: Eukaryota; Metazoa; Chordata; Actinopteri; Salmoniformes; Salmonidae. The record is from RefSeq and is a predicted model, not a curated record. The transcript is spliced from 3 exons.